CUAUACCACACUGCACUAUUUCCAUGAGAUACUUUUGUUCUAUGAGUUUAUGCACUAAGAUUGAGUACAAACAAAGAAAGGAUGGUUUAGCAUGAUUAAUGUGGAGUUAUUUAAUAACUGUUAUAUGGUAUAACUUGUUAUUUUCUUUGUUCAUAAAACACAUCUUGAUGCCAAGGACAAACCAAAAAAUUGAGAAAGAAAAAUUUAUUACCUGGACUGAGUCCGUUUCAAACAUCUUGUGCUCUUGCGUAUAGAAUAACACAAAAGAGUUAUUGAUGUUACUUGGUUAAUCAAGCAUUCAAAUUCCAUGUUGAUUAACUUCUAAUCGGAAGUGUCAGGAUUAAGCAUUAUUUUGCGAUGACUAUAUCUUGAGGACAUUUUUUAUUUGAUUACAUCUUCUAUGGUAUUUUGUGAAAUCUUAAUUGUUUUUAUUAGUUGAUUUUGUUAUAGACUGAUUAUUCAUUAAAGAUAAGUUUAAGGAAGUCAUCCGUUUAAAGAAGUCUGAUGACUAAGGUAUAAAUUGGGUCAUGAGCAACACCAACUUGAUGAGUAAAUAAAAUAAGUUUAUUGCCAAGCACAUAAUAAUGUUGAGAUGAUAUAAAAAAAUGCCAUGUCAGUCCAUAUUUUAUUCUUUUAGUGGUGAUAGGAAUUGUAUCAAUGAAUCUACGUCACAACUGUAUAUUUUAAUAGACUUUUUAGACAUUUGCUAAUCAUGUGAUUGGGCUUACUUCUUUCUUUUGUUUGAGGGUAAGUAAAAUUGUAGACAAUCUUUUCUGGAGAUUGUUUGCAUUAAAUUUUCAGUAUAUUUAUAUAGUUGUUAGCAUUAGCUUAUUAAAAAAAUAAGAAUUAGCAUUUCUUCGAUUGUAGUAACGACGUCUUUGCUUUUAAAUACAUUAUUAUUAUUAUUAUUCCAUCUUUUCUAAAGGAGCGUGACUAAGACACUUAUAGUACUCUAGAGUAAUUUAGUUGCACAGAUACUUGGCUUGUGUCUAUGUUCUCUCUUUCUAGCUUAUUUUUGUAUCAUGAUAUAUUUCAAAUUCUUGGUGUGGGACUUGUAGUAGUAAAUAUUUUCUAUUAAGAAUAUUUAAUAUCUUAUUCUUGUCUCAGAAUAGGAACAAGCUCUCAUGAAGAAUACAAAGUAGUGGAUGUUUUUAGCAAGGUGCAAAUACUUGCAAUACUCUAUAUGACUCGUAAUUAGACUAUGUAAUUUCUAUUGUUCAUAGGUGGUAUAGCACUGAUAGCAACAUAAUACGUCUGGUUAAUCAUGUGGUAUAGAAUGAUAGGUAGGAAAUGAACAAGUAGUCAUAUGCUUGGAUUUGAUUUUGUAAAUGAUUUUAAAAGAAAAGCACAACAAAAUACAAUAUUUUGCUCGGUUCUACACAUGCCGGGCCCCUGGGGAGGUAAAUAUGAAUUU
This 1414-nucleotide long non-coding RNA is filed under the name Nicotiana tabacum (common tobacco). RNAcentral's name for it is "long non-coding RNA (NTAB_LNC009819)". Lineage: Eukaryota; Viridiplantae; Streptophyta; Magnoliopsida; Solanales; Solanaceae. The record is from RNAcentral.